ACCCCACGCCACGCUGAGGUGAAGAUACGCAAGACGUCCUCUAAAGCAACUUCCGUGGGUGCCAAGUUAUGGGCUGGGGGCGGUGCUGACCUUGAGAGCGCGUAGGAGGCGCAGGCGCAGCACAGGUGCGUGGGCGGGCGGAGCGCAAGUGGCUGCGUUUACCAGGACCCUGAGGUGCCAAUUGAAGUCAGAAGAACAUCUACCAAGAGCAGAGAAACCAGGAAGAAAAUUCUGCCUGUUUAACACAUUCCAAUAUGGACGUUUUCCAUGUAGAUAUAUAUAUAUCAGAGGCAAAUAAGUGAAACCCCCCAUAUACCUUUUAAUUUUGUGUUUUUUCCAAACUCUGUUCCAGUCAACUUUCUCUCCCUUUUUAUUUAAUUAUAAUGAGACAUCGUACUGGAGGCAGGCUUGAAAUGGAUAUACAGAACACUUUAAACCCAGAAAUUUGUCUCAUAACUUGGGGAUCUUUACUUAAGUUGUAGCUAUCAGUAAUUUCAUCCAUGAGGUCACUUUCUACCAUAGUGUGACGUUUUGUUACAAAAUUGGAAUUAGUAAGGAAGUUUUGGGAGAAGUAAAGAAGGUUGAGUAGGCAGACGUAGUUACAGAUAUUAAGUUUUACCCUCCUUAUCAAAGUACCUGGAGGGUGUGGUAUCCAAGCUAUAAAUGGCCCAAAGACUCGGAAUCGGAGUUCUCAGCAAUCUAAAAGAAGCAUGCACACGGCAGUUGCUUUGUAUCAGGAAAGGGGACACAGACUGAAUGCGUGAGACUUUUUUGUUUGUUUGUUUUUUAAGUUUAAACUUGGUUUUGUGGGGGGACGAACAGCAUGACAAUUAAAGAAGAUCUAGGAAUCAUAAGUAUUGACAGAACAACUGGAGGGGAGGUGGAACUGGAGAAUAGUUUGUGAAACAGAUCUUGCUGAGGAUGCAUCCAGAACUUCCUGAAGGGUUCCUCUUCUGCUAUGUAGGGACAAGGUUGUAAAUAGACAAGCCACAGGGCGUUCUGCAAAUGCUAAGUGUGGUAGAGAGGGGCUGGAAUUGUCUGUUGGUGUAUCUGUGGGAAGCAGCUGCUAUCCUUGGAGAAGAAAACAUGGAGAAGGUAAGUGGCUAUCAGCCUGUUAGAGACAACACAUUCUGUGAAGUUGCACUCUUUCAUUUCUGGCACUGUGGUUCUUCUAUCUGUCCUAAACCUGGCAGUCUCAUUGAGGUUUACAAAGUAUCUCCCUCUUUGUGACAGUAAAACUAGAAUUAUCAGGAUGGAAUUCAUUCCUGCUAGAGUAAAACCAUAAGACGAAAUAGCAGUUUUUAUUAUCUGCAUAUCAUUUUUAAUAGAUCACAGAGUUCUGUGUUCCUUAUUUGGUGUAUGGCAAGUUGAUAAAUAAUUCUUGGUUAAUAUUCUUUAACGUUCUGUUUCACACAUUUCUAUAUUACAUUUGAAAAAUCUUUUUAAUGCUUAAAAUGCAUAUAUGUUUUAAGGUAGUGCCAUCCAGUCUUUCUUAUUUUGUAGAAUAAUAUUGCUAUCUAUUGGUUGCCUGCCUUAAAGUAGAAUAAUUUCCAUUUCCAUUACUUAAAAUAAGUGGGUAUCUUUAACAAAGUUACAAAGGGGACAAUAAUGAAAGGGAAGAAAAAAUAGAAGAUGGAGAGUAAAAGAAAUUCAGUAGUUUCAGCAAGGAAAUUAGGAGCAUAAUCUUUGAGAAAGUCUUGGUUGCUUCCUUUAGGGCUUUAUCAUCAGUCGAAAUGUCCUGAGUGAGAACGAUUCUCAAGUGCUUUCAAGACCAACAAAAAGUUACGCUACCCACAGUGACCUGGAACUCUUUCAGCCAUUAAGAUAAUAUAACUUUUUUGCAAUUCAGGCCAUACUUUUUUGCAAAAUGUUAUUAGUUUUUCCUUUAAGACAUUUCUGCUUUUUCUGAACAAGUGUGUCAUAUGCUUUCAUUGUAAUUUUUUUUUUUUUUCCCUAACAUAUACUGUUUUCCUAAUUAGACUAUAAAUUCUGCCAGAGCUGGGACCUUGUUUUGUUUUCCUGCCUUUCCCUUAAGAAAUAUAAUUUGAAUGAAUGUUGUAAACGUUUAAAUUGCCCUUAAAGCGCUUUACGGCAAAGAUGUUAUUUGUAGUAAUACCUACAAUGGUAAAAAGUUUGUUGCAGUAUUACGUACAAUAAUAAGUUUGAUCAAUUGUUAUAUGUUUAGUGGAAUAUUAUCUAGCUCUUUUAAAAAGCCACUGAACUAGUCUUUCUAAUGGAAAAUGUUUAUUUUCUAAGUUAAAAGAGCGUUUUAGGCCAGGCACAAUGACUCACUACUGUUACCACAGCACUUUGGGAGGCUGAGGUGGGAGGAUCACUGGAGCACAGGAGUUAGAGACUAGCCUAGGCAAUAUAGUGAGACCUCAUCUCUACAAAAAUUUAAAAAUUAGCUGACUGUGAUGUUUGUGCUGGUAAUUUCAGCUACUCAGGAGACCGAGGUGAGCUGAUCACUUGGGACUAAGAGGUAGACGCUGCAGUAAACUGAGGUCACAUCACUGCACUCCAGCCUAGGCAACAGAGCAAGAUCUUGUCUCAAAAAACUAAGAAGCGUAUAUAGACUGCAUGUUUGUGUCCUCCCUCCCUCCACACAAAAUUUCAUAUGUUGAAACCCUAAUCCCCAAUGACAUGAUAGAAGGUGGGGCCUUUGGGGGACAAUUAAGUAAUGAGGGUGAAGCCCUCAUGAAAUUAGUGCCUUUACAAGAAUAGACACUAGACAGGUUGCUUCCCCUCUUUCUUGCUCUUCACAAUGUGAGGAUACAAGAAAACAGACAACUAACUACACAUUAGGAAGGGGGCCUGAUUUGUGCCAAUCAUGCUAGCACUCUCUUCUCUGAUUUCCCAGCCUCCAGAACUGUGAGAAAUAAAUUUCUGUUGUUUAAGUCACCCGGUUUAUGGUACUUAGGUUAUACCAGCCCAGAUUAAGAUAGCAGGAUCCAAAAUUGUGCCCAGUAUGAUUGCUUUGACAUGAAAAAAAUCCUAAGCACAGAGAGUAAAAAGUAACCAAAAUAUAUCAGUCACCACUGCUAGCAUUGACUCUCUAAAACAGCUUUUCUAUAUUGGGUUUGUUUUUUUUUUUUUUUAAUCUUAACACUGAGCAUAGUGGCUCAUGCCAGUAAUCCCAGCACUUUGGGAGGCCGAGUUGGGCAGAUCAUUUGAGGUCAGGAAGACCAGCCUGACCAGCAUGACAAAACCCCAUCUCUACAAAAAAUAGAAAAAUUAGCUGGGCAUGGUAGCACACCCCUGUAGUCUCACCCGCCUACUUGGGAGGCUGAGGUGAUAGGAUUGGACCUGGGAAGCAGAGGUUGCAGUGAUCUGUGAUUGCAUCACUGUACUCCAGCCUGUAUGACAGAGCAAGACUUCAUCUCAAAAGUAAAUAAAUAAAUAAAUAUGAUUUUUUGUUUUUUUUCAACAUUACAUUAUGCUUUUUAACAUUCACUAUAUUACUGUCAUCUUUCAGGUUGGAAAAAAAUGUUUUAAAUGUUAUUCUGAAGUACACUGCAACCUUUAACAAUUCAGUAGACUUCCUCUGAAGUUUUAUUUUCAUGUAGCUUACCACAGUUAUGUUUAGGAAUAUGCCACAUGUCUGAUUAAUUGGUGAAAUAUUUCUUGCAAUUUUACACAGAUUGUACAAUGCACAUUUUCAAGGACCACUAACAUACAUAAUGGGAACUUGACUCCAUUUGAUACUUUUUGGCAUCAAGAAAGUCUUUAAGCAACCAGUGCCACCAAGAGCAAUAAAAAGACAAAACCAUCUGAAAGUAUCUAUCUGUUUAAAACUUUAAUUAGCUUUAUUCAUUCAUUAAAUAUUUUUUGAAUAUCAAACUGUAUCAGUCACUCUUCUACACUCUUGAGGAAAUAGUAAAUAAAGCAGAUAUUUUCUCUUCUAUGAGGAAAUUUUCAUUUUAGUAGCAAUAAAUCAUAAAUUAACAAAAAUAGAAGAUAAUGGUAAGUACUAGGCAUGAAAUUCAAACAUGACUAUUUUAGAUUAGGUGAUUAAGGAAAAUAAAGUACCAUGUAAGCUGCUAUGUAAAACUCGGGGAAACCGUUGCUUGCAAGAAAGGACAACAGUGCAAAGAAUCUAAGGCAUGAUCUAGCUUAGAAUACUUCAGGAGACAAAAGAAGGCCUUUGUGAUUAGAGCAUAGUGACUUAACAGGAGAAUACUGUAACUUUAGAGGCAUAGGAAAGGGCUAGAUCAUGUUACCUUUGAAAGAUAGGAAAGAAUUUAGACUUUAUUCUUUGUGCAAAUGGAAAAAAAAUUAGAACAUUUUAAUACAAAGAGUGAUAAAAUACAUUUUUAAAAUCCACUUUGGUAAUUUGUUUUUUAAUUGGAGUAUCUAGUCUGAUUACAUGUAACAUAAUUACUAACAUAUUUGGAUUUAAAUUUUUCCUUGUUCCUUUUUUAUUUGUCCCACCUCUCCUAGGUUCAUUUGCUCUUUUGCCUUUUGGAUUUCUUUUUGAAUUCAGCCUGUAACAUCUGGUAUUCCGAGGGAGACUCUGAUCCAACUGCCAAACAGCCCCAACCCUGCUUAGCUUCUCAGAUCAGAUGAGAACAGCAUAUUCAGGGUGGUAUGGCUGUAGACCUUUUAGAUUAUUUUUAAUUAUUCCAUUUUUCCUACCCCAAAGCUUGACAGAUAUCUUUUAUUUUCUUUUUUAACUAUUCACCUCAGGUAUUAAAACAUGGAACUUGGGUUUAUCAUCUUCUAAGGUAAUUUGGUAUUAUACUUCUUCCAGGACAAUGUAAGGACCUGAGAACACUUCAUUUACUUCCACACUCCAUAUUACAUACUUUGUAUAUUCUUAAUAUGUAUUUCCUAAAUUUUCAUUUUUUUAUUUUUAAAUUCUCAUUAUUUAAAGAAUUUAAAUUUUGAGAAUAAAUUUUUAUUAUUUUAUUAUUCUCAUUAUUGUUUUUUAUUCAAUAUGCAAUUUCCCAAAGAUUUACUUUUAUUGUGUUUUGUGGUUCCUGGAAUCUGAGCUUCCAUCUGAAAUCUUAUUUCUUCUUCUUGAAGACAUACUUUAAUAUAUCUUUAUAUGUCUACUGGUAACAAAUUCUUUCAGAUUUUCUCUCCUGAAACUGUCGUAUUUUACUUUCAUUUUCUAAGAACCUUUUUGCUGAAUAAGCAGCUGUUUUAUCAUUUCAAAGAUAGAUUUUAUUCCUUCUGGCUUCCAUUAUAUCUUAUGAGACAUUAUGUCCUUUUUUAUUUUUCCUCUUCAAAAGUGAUCUCUUUUUUUGCAUGGCUACCUUUAAGAGGUUUGUCUUAAGUUUGAUGUGCCCACAUGUUGCUUUUUGUUUGGUUGUAUUUUUUGUCUUCUUUUUUUUUUUUUUUUCCUCUUUGAGAUUUGUAAUGUUUCUUGAAUCUGAUGUGAUGUCCUUAGACUGUUUUAGAAAAUUCUCAGCUCUGUUUUAUCAGGCAUUGGUCUGCCUUCACUCUCCUUUCUCCUCUUCUUUUGGUACUCCACUUAACAUGUGUAUUUGACAAUUCACUUUGUCCCUUGUAUUUUCCAUUUGUUUUCUUCUCUCUGUUUCAUCCUGAAUAUUUCUUCUUAAAUUUCAGUUCACUAUUUUAAUAGUCACUAAUCUGUUAAAAAUUUCUUUUGAAACAUUUAUUUUAGCUAUAUUUUUGGUUGUUAUCAGUUCAAACAUUUCUACUUGAUUCUGUUUUAUUGUUUCCAGUUGUUUAUCAAAUAUCUCUAUCUUUUAUUUCCUCAAACAUUCUAAUCACAAUUACUGUAAAACCUGUAUCUAAUAACUAUGGUGUCCAUUAUUAUCUGACACUUUUUGUGUUUCUUGUUGUUAUCACAUUGUCUUUCUUUUAUGUCCCUUUUUUAUGUUAUUUUAUAAUAUUUGCUUAUUUUAUAAACAUUAUAAAUAUAUAAAACUAUGUUUAGGUUAUGUUUUAAUUGAAUGUCAGAACUGUUUUGAUUGAAUUAUUUAUGAGGAAACUAUGCUUUGUAGUCCAAUAUGAUGGUAUUUUCUAAAGAAAGUAUUUAUGUCUCCUGGCAGGACCUUUGGACACUAGUAAUCCAAGAUCAUCUUAAUCCAGUUAGUGAUAGAUAUAAUUACAAUAUAGGCAGGUCUACUUUCAGUUCAGCAGAAAUUUCUCUCAGAGUAUAGACCUUUGAAGUCCCAACUCAAGCAUGCAGAAUUUACCAGAGCAGGCCUUAAACUCCAGUUUUUGUUUUUUUAAUUCUAUUAGUUAGAAGCUCUGUUCACCUUUUCAGCCAUCAUCUCAUGAAUUGGAAGAUACUCCAGAGGAAAAGCUACUGUAAAUGCUGCAUUCAACAACUUUUUUCCUUCUGAAUAUUUCAUUGUCUUAUGCUCUCAGAUGUUUGUUUUAUUUUUGUCCAAGCUGAGGGUGGUGCUUCACGUCUGUAAUUUUAGCACCUCAGGAAGCCAGGGUGGGAGCACCCCUUAAGGCCAGGAAUUUGAGACCAGCCCAGGCAACAUAACAACACCCUUGUCUCUUGGAAAAAUAAAUUCAUAUAUUAUAUAUAUAUAUAUAUAUAAAAUAUAUGAAAUAUAUAUAAUAUAUAUAUUCUCCAAAUCUUCUAAUUGUUCUUCAGAAGAGGUCUAAAUUAGCUAACCCAUCAUUACUAAGAGGAGAAAUUUAAAAAAAAAAAUAAGUACACCUGAACUGUUUACAAAAAUUAACCAUAUAAAAGUCUUAAAAUUUCAAAAGAUUGCAUUCACUUAGAUCAUUUUUUGUAAUCGCGGUAUAAUUAAGUUAGAAAUAAAAAAUGACAACUCUAGAAAACCUCAUAUAUUUAGAAAAUAGUCCACUUGAUGGGUGAAAUUCAAAGAAAGAAUUUCAUUGAUAAAUAGAAAAUAUUCAGAACUGAACAAAGACAAAAAUACUCUACUAUUUAUACCUGUAGAAUGUAGCUACAUUACUUUCAAGAAAAUCAAAAGCCUUAAGUACUCAAGGAAUACUGAAAAUUAAAGAUUAAAUAGUCUAACCUAAAGGAUUAGGAGAGAAUGGAAUAUAGAAGGAAAAAAUAAAGUUUAAGUAAUAAAACAGAAAGCAAAUAGUCAAUACAGAGGGGUAACAGAAGUUAUAAAAAGAAUUUAUUUUUUACUUGAUACUUUAUACAUAUUUAUUGGUAUAAAUGUUUUGCUACAUCUUCUAUAAUGAUCCAGUCAGAGCAGUAGUGUAUCCAAAAGUUGUAUCUUUUUUUUUCUUGAGAUGGAGUUUCGCUCUUGUAACCCAGGCUGGAGUGCAAUGGCACUAUCUCCGCUCACCACAACCUCUGCCUUCUGGGUUCAAACAAUUCUUCUGCCUCAGCCUCCCAAGUAGCUGGGACUACAAGCAUGCGCCACCAUGCCCAGCUAAUUUUUUGUAUUUUUAGUAGAGAUGGGGUUUCACCAUGUUGACCAGGAUGGUCUCGAUCUCUUGACCUCGUAAUCCACCUGCCUCAGCCUCCCAAAGUGCUGGGAUUUUAGGUGUGAGCCACUGCGCCCGGCCAAAAGUUGUAUCUUUUAACAAACUAACAACAUUGACAAACCUUUGACAGGAUUAGCCAAGAAAGAAGGAAAAGACACAAAGAUUAUUAAAAGUGAAAAUGGGGACAUUUCAAUUUUAUAGAAGACCAUUCCACGGUAUAUAAGACUGCCUCUUAUCAAAUUUAAAAUUAUCGUAUUAGGCUUCUGUAACCCUGCUGUUAAAUUUCAUAAGGGCAGUAAGAAUUAGAGCCCUGUCAUAUUCACAAAGAAAGACAAAAAUUCCAAAUAAAACAGACCUCGGAAAAUGUGUUUUUUUAAAAAAGAUAAUAUAUCAUGAUCAGGUGGAAUUUAACCAGGAAUGUAUUUUAUUAUAUUAAAAGAUUAGAGGAGACUGGCUGCUGUGGCUCAUAGCUGUAAUCGUAACACUGUAGGGGGCCGAGGCAGGUGGAUCACCUGAGGUCAGGAGUUUGAGAGCAGCCUGGCCAACAUGGUGAAAGCCCAUCUCAACUAAAAAAAUACAAAAUAUUAGCCAGACUAAUUUUCAAUGGAGGGCAUCUGUAAUGUCAGCUGCUCAGGAGGCUGAGGCAGGAGAAUCGCUAGAACCCGGGAGGUGGAGGUUGCAGUUAGCCGAGAUUGUGCCAUUGCACUCCAGCCUGGGCGUCAGACCAGGAGAAAAACUAUCUAGUUAUCUGAACAGAUGCAGGAAAAGUAAAGUAUUUGAAAAAAUAACAGACAUCAAUAAAACCUUUGGGCAAAUUAGAAUUGUGUAGAACUUCCUUAAGCCAAUAAAACCUACAGCAACGUAUAUUUUAAGAUGAAGUAUUUGAAGCAGACCCUUAGAGUCAGGAACAAGUACUACAUUGGAGAUCCUAGCGAGAAUUAUAAGGCAAGAAAAACAAAAUAUUAAAAAUUGGAAAUAAACAUAACUUAGUCUACUGGUAAAUUAUUAUUAAAGAGCUUUGCAAGGAUUCUGGAUAUACUAUUGAUACGGUUUGAAUCUGUGUCCCCACCCAAAUCUCAUGUUGAAUCGUAAUCUCCAAUGUUGGAGGUGAUUGGAUCAUGGGGAUGAGUUUCUCAUUAGUGAUUUAGUACCAUCCUAUUGGUACUGUCCUUGAAAUAAUGUGUUCUCACGAGAUCUAGUUGACAUUGUGUGGUAUCUCUCUCUUGCCCAUGUUUCCCCUUUGCCUCCCACCAUAAUUGGAAGCUUCCUGAAGCCUCCCUUGAAGCAGAAGCCACUGCUUCCUGUACAGUUUGCAGAACGAUGAGCCAGUUAAACCCCUUUUCUUUAUAAAUUACUCAGUCUCUGGUAUUUAUAGCAAUGUGAAAACAGACUAAAAACACUAUCAAUAUGCAAAAGUGAAUUGCAUUUCUCUCCAGCAGAAAUGAACUGUUAGAAAAUGUUUUUUUGUAAGACUAUUUACUAUAUUCCUUUAAAAAAAUGAAUCACCUAUAGGUAACUUAAAAGAUAUAGUAGACCUCUAUAGAAAAAGAAUUACAAAACUUUGAGAGACAUUAAAGAAUUUCUGAUUUUAAAAUUGCUAUGUUCAGUUAUUAAAAGACUUAAGUUAAAAUGGCAGUUCUCCCCUAUGCAAUGAAAGUAAUUGCAAUACAAAUCCCAAAUGAGUUUUUCAAGAAGCUUGACAUUGACAAACUGAUUCUGAAGUCUGUGUGACAAAGAGCAGAAUUCAUGAUACUCCAGAAGCAGAUUUAAGAUAGAAUUGAUUUGUAGACAUUCACAACAGCAAAAAAAUUACUCAAAUAUCCAUGAAAAGAUAGUGUUUAUCCAUGAAAAGAUACACAAAAAGUGAUGCAGUUAUAUAAUGGAAUAUAUUUGGCUACAAAAAGGAAUGACAUAAUGAUACCUGCUUUAACAUGUAUAAACUUUGAAUACAUUAUGCUGAAAUAGAGAAGCCAGUCACAAAAGACCACAUGAUUCCAUUUAAAUAUAAUGUCUAAAGUAGGAAAUGUAUUGAGACAAAAGAUUUGUGGUUGUUUAGGGCUCACAAAGUUUGGGGGCAUGGGGGCCCAGGGUAGCGAUAGCCAAAGUGUGCAGAGUUUCUUUUUGAGGAAGUAAAAAGUGUUCUAAAAUGUAUAGUUGCACAUUUCUGUUGGUAUACUAGAAUACAUGCAGUUGUGCACUUUAAAUGAGUAAAUUGGUAUAUGAAUUGUACCUCAAUAAAUCUGUUAAAACUGUAGUAAUUAGGGUAUUGUAAUACUGGCUUAGAGAUAGAAAAAUUGAUGUAUAAUGAAUCUUGAUUGUAAGGACUCCUGAUUUAUGACAGAGAUGGCAUUGCAUACCAGCAGGAAAAACAAGAGCAUUUCAAUAAAUGGUGCUGGAUAUUCAUAUGGAAGAAAAAUGAAAUUGGUCCUCCCUACCUAACACCAUAUAGAAAAAGUAGUUUCAGAUGACUUUAAGAUGUAGGUGUGAAAGGAAAACAUUAAACCUUCAGAAGAAAGAUUGCAAAAAUAUUUUAUGAUCUUAGGGAAAUGUAAUAUGCAUAAAGAAAAACAUAUGCAUUCAAAUACAUUAAGGUUUUAAAAAACUCUGUAAAAGACACCAUAAACUCUUGGAAUAGUGGUUAAUUUCAGUCAUGUACCGGAAGAUGAGCUUGGAAUACUUCACUGUGCAAGAUAGCAAGGAAGCUAUCAUAGACUACUAGGGUGUUAUAUCAAAUGGACUCAGGAGACAACUGAAAAGCAUUCCUCUGGCCAUAGAUGAGACUAUUUGAGUAUCAAGGACGGUAAAUGUAAUUGAUUGGAAUGCAUCAAGUGUCUUUAAAUCUAUUAAUUCACUAUGAUUGUAAAACAAACAGCAUUUACUUGGUCAACAGAAACCAGUUUGUUUUUUUUUUAAAGUAAGUAGGCACUUAUCCUGCUUUUUCUAUGUGAACUGUUGGUAACCAAAUAGUAGCUGAGGAUAGGUUUCUUUUAAAACAUGUAUUCCAGCUAAUAAGUGGAAGAAUUAUAGAAUUUGAAAAUUGCCAUUUUGAAAUUCCUAAUGAAUAAAUGGAUUUAUUUAUUGUAUGUCACCAGCUGCUAACAUGACAGACAAGAAAACAUGCUUGUUAAUGGAAAAGCACUGCUACUGAUUUAAAAAAUCUUACCAAAAACUUGACCCUGAUACUAAUCAGGUCUUUAGAUCCAUUCAACUUACAGGAGAUAAAACACCAAUGAAACCUACAACCAUGUAAUGUUUUGGAAUGGAAAAUAUAAAUGAAAGCUCCAAUUGUGGAGAAUAUCAGGACAAAUUUCAACAAAUACAUUGCAGGAGAAAGAGAGAGGGAGAAGGACAAGUGGAGAAAACCAUGGAUUACAAGAGACUUACUUCAAUAUGAAGCAGCCUGUGACCUUGCAUUAGUUAUCUUACUAUAUAACAAAUUACCCUAACUUAAACCUAAAAAUAUUUAUAUACUUUCUUAGGGUUUGGAUUCCAGGGGUGGCCUAGCUAGGUAUUUUGGCCCAGGGUCUCAUAAAUUUGCAGUCAAGAUGUUGGCUGGUCUGUAGUUUUCUGAAAGUUUUACUGGUGUUAAGAGGAUCCACUUCCCAGAGGGCUCAUUCAUAGAGCUGCCUGAGUUUUCUCACAAUAUGGCAGCUAGCUUUCUCCAGAACAGGGGAUCCAAAAGAUAGACAGAAACCAUGAUCACUCAAAGCGAUUACCAUUUCUUCUACUGUAUACUGUUAGUCAUAACCCUGAUAAUAUGUGGGAGGAGAUUACACAAGAGCAUGAAUACUGGGAAACUGGCUGUCACAGUUUGGCUCCAAUGAUUGACAGGUCUUGAUUUGCAAAAUACAUUCAUCCCCUCCAAAAGCUCUCCAAAGCUCUCAUCUUAUUAUACCAUUAAUUCAAAGCCUAGAAAUAUAAAUCAGAUCCAGUUAUGGAUGACACUCAUAGGUAUACUUAAGUACAGCUCUUUAAGAAGAGCUCUUUUUGAUCUGAAGACCCAAAUGCUAAAGACGUAGCUUCCAUAUGAAUAGGGUAAUAAAUGUAGACAUGUAUAUUUAAAAAGUCAGAACACUGAAGGUGCAUAGGUUCACAGAAAUUCUGAAACCCACCUGAGCACAGAUUGGCAGUUCCUUGGUUAGGAUUCAAGGCCUAGAAUUUUCUUAGCUCUGCCUUUUGGUAUCUUGGGACUUACUCAUUGAGUCACCCUUUCUUUUGCUUGUUUACAGUUCUGCCUACUCUCUGCCAAUAGAAGCCUGGAUGUCCCACUAGCCUCUUUCCAUAUGGUACUCUGUGCCUUUCAGUUCAGGCUGGCAGUAUUCCUGCUAAUAGACUUCUCUUAAAAACUUUUUGGCACACUGUGAAUUUUGAGUUUAAGUUCACUCCAUUAGACAAAAGCAACAAACACACAUCUCUUCCACAUAAAUUUUUUCUACCUCAGGCUUUUGCCAAUGAAAACACCCUUAAACUUUUUUAAAAAAACCUGUGAUGUUAUUCAGAGAUUUUCUGAGACACAUCUUUUGUCUGAAUGAAAAUACUCUGAGGCACAUCUUAAGAUCUUUCUGAGGUAUUAAGGGACUUUAUAACCUCAACUUCAUGUUUCAUUGGCAGUGCCCUGGAUUUGCUUUUUGCUCAGAGACAUUCCCUAAUUUUAGCAUCAUUUGUCAUCUGCACAGGCUGGGAAUCUUCAAAUCCGGCAAGUUUUGACUUUUUUUUUUUUUUUUAAUAGAGUCAGGUUUUUGCUUUGUUGGUCAGGGUGACCUUGGACUCCUGGCUUCAAACAUUUCUCCCACCUCAGCCUCCCAAGGUUCUGGGGAUUUUAGGCAUAAGCCACCAUGCCCAGCCAUGGCUCGUCCUUCCUUUGACUUUCUCUCUCCUCACACAUUUUACUAUAAGCAACAAGAAGAAAAACGACAUGAAAUAUUUAACAUUGAUUUUUUUAUAUUUAACAUUUGGCUGGCAAUCUCCUUCGUUACAUCUACCAGUGAAUUAGGCAUAUUUUCUUCUUUACACAUAGCUGUGAGUAAUGAAUUUGCAAACUUUUUGCUACCAUGUACCAAGGAUCUCCUUCCUUCCAGUUCCCAGUAAGAGUUUUCUAAUCUGUUAAGAUGUCACCUGCAGCCUCCUCAAAGUUAUCUAUUAUGCUUCUAUAAAAAAUGUCUUAAAGGCUCUUCAAAGUUUUAUUAACACUCUAUUCCAAGUUGUACCUUCUGCUCACUGCCAGUUCCAAAACCACACUUACAUUUUAAGUUUUUGUUAACACCCCACUUCCAAGUACCAAAAUGUAUCCUAAUUUUCUAUUGCAGCAUAACAAACUGCCUCAAAAUAUAAUAUGUAAAGCAAUAAAUAUUCCUUAUCUCCUGUAGUGUCUGAAGAUCAAAAAUCCAGAAGCAGCUUAGCUGAAUGGUUCUGGCUGAGUGUCUCUUGUGAAGUUAAUCAGUGAAAGCAUCACCUGAGAUUGCAAUCAUCUGAUGUUUUAACUAAUACCAGAGGAUCUACUUUCACAUGCUAUUGACAGGAAGCUUUAGUUCUUCACUGGCAAUUUAGCAGAAUACCAUGCUUCCUUACCACAUGUACCUCUUCAUAGAGCUUCCUGGCUUCCCAUAAAACAAGUAAUCCAAGAGAGAAAGAAGCAGAAGCCACCAUGUCUUUAAGUCCUUUUUGACAUAGCCCCCAAAGUAACAUAUUACACAGAUAUGUGACCAACCUGUCGGUCACUGAUAUGGUUUGGAUAUGUGUCCCCUCUAAAUCUCAUGUUAAAAUGUGAUUCUUAAUGUUGGAGGUGGGGCCUGGUGAGAGGUGUUUGGUUCAUGAGGGUAGAUCCCUUAUGAAUGGCUUGGUACUGUCCUUGCUGAAAUUAGUAAGUUCUCAGUAUGUGAGUUCACACAAGAGUUGGUUGUUUAAAAGGGCAUGUCAUCUCAUGCUUUCUUUCCCACCAUGUGUUAUGCUGCUCCCCUUCCCUUCUCCCAUGAUGAAAAGCUUCCUGAGGCCCUCACCAGAAGAUGCUGGUGCUGUGCUUCUCCUACAGCCUGCAGAACUGUGAGCCAAAUAAAGUUAUUUUCUUUAUGAAUUACCCACCCUCAGGUAUUGUUUCAUAGCAACACAGAAGAGGCUAAUACAAGACACAUACACCAACCCAGACGCACUAUGAGAAGGGAUUAUUGGGUGCCAUUUUGGAGGUUGUCCACCACAGGAUUUUAUCUGUAUCAUGACUCAACUUUCUUUUUCUUAAAGAGCACAUUAACAAAAUGUUAAGUAAGAAAACAAAUCACAAAAGAAUUCUGCAAUAGAAUUCCACUUAUAUAAAGGACCAAUGAAAGUAAACAUCUUCAGAGUACAAACAUAAGUAAAUCUAUAAAUUAAAGCAAAGGAAUGAUAAGCACAAAUUCAAGGCAAUGAUUUCCUCUAGCUACAGAAGGAAGGGGAUGAAGUAAGGAAGAAGUGAACAAGGAGUUUAAGAGUAUGAUAAUUGUAUGUAUUGGUUUGGCCAAACAGUCCAGGUUUGCCUAGCACAGUUCUAGUUUGCUGAUUUCCUGGUGUAAUGACUAAUAGCACUGUCACUCCCAAAAUUGUUACUGUUUGGAUAAUAAAUUAUAUGCAUCUCUUUUACAGUAAAAGUAACUUUCUUCUCCUUAAACUGGAUGGAGGGCAUGUGGGUUUUAUCAUUCUUCCUUAUAUCAUACAUGUAUUUUUAAAAUGUCAUUUAAAACUAGUCAAUAUUUUAAAAUAUAAUUAAAAACUUUAGUCAGUGACAACACAGUAAAACAAAAUUAGUAUUUAAGAGAAAUAAAUGUAAAUAGGAUCCCAAUGAAACUCUUUUCAUAUGCCUGGCAUUGAAUUAAGCUUGUUACUGAUAAUACUUCAUAUUCAUAGCAAGACUUUUAGGUAGGUAUUAUUAUCUCAAUUUUACACAUGAAGAAUCUGAGACACAAAGAUUAUAUAUAAUUUAACCAAAGUCAUAUCAUAUGUGACAGGGCAAAAUUUUAACCCAAGCAGUGUAAUAUCAGACUACAUGCUUUUAACUACCAUGCCAGAGUCUGUAAUGGACCUUCUUAACCUUUUUUUGUUUGUUUUUGCCAGGGAUCCCUUUGACAGUCUGAUGAAAUCUAUGGAGUCCUUUUUAGAGUGAUUUUUUUUGUACAUCAAAUAUAAUAUACAAGAUUAUAAAUAAAAUCAAUUAUACUAUAUGGUAAUAAGAAUAUUUAACAAAUGUAUACUAUACAUGUGCUUUUUAUUAAUGCAUUAAGUAAUUAAAUAAUAAAAUCUAGCAGGUCUCAUGUACAAUUUUGAAAUAAUACUAAUUGUAUCUUCAGAUAUCUACAAAUAUAAUAAUGUGAUAGGAAAAUGUGAUCUUUACAAGUGAAAAAGUCACCAAAAUAUUUGGAACGAUGCUGGGGUUUUUGCUUAUGUUCAGAAUGAAAAGAAAUACUAAAUCUUAGAAGUUUGCAAAAAUUUUAAGUAUAAUAUUUGCCCACCCCAAUUCCUGGCCCUCUACUUUAUGAUCUUAUUUCAUAGGCUUUCUGACAUCUUUUGCUUGAAAGAGGUCAUAAUCUCCAUUCCAUUUUCUAUUUUCUUGUUUGGGAUUACACUCAAGACGUGAUAUACAAAUAGAUUAGUUUCUCAGAAAAUAUUUUUCCACAUUGCAAGCUUGAGUGGGGGCUGACAAAUGGGAAUGUGCUAAAAUAGCCACAUGUACAUAUAGACAAUGGGAAGCUUGGAACUGCGUUAGCAUUUUAUACAGAAGAUUUAAAACUAAUUUCAGCUGGGCAUUGUGGCUUGGACCUAUAAUCCCAGCACUUUAGGAGGCUGAAGUAAGAGGAUCACUUAAGGCCAGGAGUUUAAGACCAGCCUGAACAACAUAGUGAGACCCCUAUGUCUCACUAAAAUUACAGAAUUAACCAGGCAUAGUAGCUCACAAUCAGGAGGAUGGCUUGAGCCUGGGAGGCUAAGGCUGUAAUGAACCACGAUCAUGUCACUGCACUACAGCUUGGGCAACAGAGUGAGACCCUGUUUCAAAAAAAAAAAAAAAAAAAAAAAAAAAAAAACUGGUUUCAAGCAUGUAUUGCUACAUUGCAGUUCUCCACAAAGGAAUUAUUGUUGAUAACACAAUGCCCUCAGUACACUAUUUGUCAAUACCUGUAGCAAUGCAACAAUCAAAAAAGAAAAUUUAACAGAAUCAUGUUAAAAGUUUAUUGGGAUAAAAUCAAAUCAUCUGACAAGUUUUUGACUUGCCUUUCUCAUGAUUUAAUGUCCCAGCAGAGCAACUGUGGAACCUAAUUCUGAACAACAAGGAGGAAUUGCUUGGCUAAUUGGAAGUGACAGAAACCUUGGGAGAAAGCAACCACAUACCAAGAAUAAUUGUAAGAAAGUAACAUGGGCCUUAAAGGAUAGUGUCAAGAAACCUGAAACUCCCCAACGAGGUGAGACUUGCAAAAAAUACUAAGGGAGGAUGAAGAGCAGGCCUUUUGAAAUUCUGUUCAGAACCAGAAGAUGAUCAAGAAAGGGAAAAGCCUACUAGCAGCUUCUAGUGUAAGGUUAGAGCUGACAGAGAAAGAACUCCUUAACUGUUAUUUGCUUCAUUCUCGACAAAGGAAACUAGAAAAGUGGGUUGACAUAAUAGAAGGAACAUGUGUUCGUGGAGUAAGGCAAACCCUCCUGUACUAGGCCCUUCUAGACCAAACCAAAAUGGAGUCACUCAUAAUAAAACUCCAGGUCACCAAAUCAAAACUAAGUUGUUUAUCUGACCUUCCAAGAAAUCGGGAGGGAGAAAACAGCCAACUCUUCCAACAGGCCGGUUUUAGUCAGCAUGAUAAGGAAAGUCUCUCUUUUUUAACCCUGUAAGUAAAGUAAGUUUUCAAAAUGAUCAAUACACUUUUUAUUCCUUAGUUCUGCUCUCUUUAGCCCUUUUCUGCCCACUUCCUCUGCUCAGAUAAUUGCGAUGUCUGGUUAAUUAUUGAAGCACCUAUUCUAUUUUAUAGAAUGAGAUGCUGCUCAAUUCUAAAAUCACUAGUAAAAAUCAAUUAGAACUUUAAAUUUGUUGUAAUUUUGUCUUUGAAAACAUUACUAGUUAUAUUACUCCGGGUAUCUUUUUUCUCAUCUGUAAAAUGGACAUAGUGAUACGUUUCCCAUAGAAUUUUUCCAUUAAUAGAAGUAAUACAUUCAAAACACUAAGCCAGGCUCACAACAAAUAGCAACGUGUUAAUAUUACUCAAAAGCAUAAUAUAGAUAUUGACAGAAAGCAAUACUGUUCCUAAUUAGGGGAAGAAAUUCUAAGAGAGUACCUAACAGUUUGAAUUUAGAUUAUAACAUUUUCUCUGAGUGUUUUGCAUUACAGGAUUUGGGGAAAAAGUACAAAUGGGAUCGAGAACAGUGGUACCCAUCUUUGAGGAAUUAUGGAAAACUAAUACAACACUAAACAUGGGAAAAUAUCUGCCUACAAGUUGAAAAGUAGACAUCUCAAUCCCUGAAUUUUUUUGUUUUUGCUAAGUGACUUUUUUGUCCAUUGGUGUCAUUUAACCAAAAGAAGAAGAAAUUAAAAAAAAAAAUCAUCUGAAACAAAGGAAUAGAUUGAAUUUUCUUAAAAUGGAGACAUAAUUCUUCAAAGCUAAGGUGCUGAGGAAAAAACAGGUCUUGAAUUUCUUCAGAGCUUCAAGAGGCAAAGCUUGAAAGAAGGAAAAAAUUACAUUCUUAUGUAAGAUGUAGGGGGUUGAAUGGUGGCUCCCCCAAAUGGUAAGUCUUCCUCCUAAUCCUAGAACCUGUGGAUGUUACCUUAUUUAGAUUAAAAAGUCUUUGCAGAUAUAAUUAGGGACUUUGAGAUGAGGAAAUCAUCCUGGAUUAUCUGGUGGGCUGAAAAGCCAAUUUUAUGUAUUCAUAUAUGACAGAAGCGAAGAGGAGGGGAUAGUUGUGACCAUGGAGGCAGAGAAUGGAGUAAUGUGAAGCUGGAGAAGGCCAACAACGGACUUUCAAUCCUCCCACAGAAGUACAGCCCUGCUAAUGUGUUGAUUUUGGAUAAGAGAAUAAAUUUCUGUUGUUUUAA
Molecule: long non-coding RNA, 17434 nt
Organism: Callithrix jacchus (white-tufted-ear marmoset)
Lineage: Eukaryota; Metazoa; Chordata; Mammalia; Primates; Cebidae
Source: RefSeq, a predicted model, not a curated record